This 5128-nucleotide long non-coding RNA is filed under the name Lynx pardinus (Iberian lynx). The record is from RNAcentral. Lineage: Eukaryota; Metazoa; Chordata; Mammalia; Carnivora; Felidae.
GAGAGAGAGAGAGGGAGAGCAAGAAUCCCAAGCAGGCUCCACAGCUGUCAGCACAGAGUCCGAGCUCACAAACUGUGAGAUGGUGACCUGAGCUGAAAUCAAGAGUUGAAGUCACUCAGAUGCCCUGGAGGCUAGUUUCAUUUCAGAAGGCUCUGUCCCAGCACUGACAGAUGGUGUAGCCAUUCUGGGGGCCUGUAAGUAACCAACUCCACCAGUGCUAUGGUCUACUCCUUUCCUUCUUUUCUUUUCCUUUUCGAAGAUACCCAUUAGGGGGUACCUGGGUGGUUCAGUUCAUUGAACAUCCGACUUUGGCUCAGGUCAUGAUCUCACUGUUGGUGAGCUCGAGCCCCACUUUGGGUGAGCUUGAGCCUGCCCUGGCCUCUGCAUUCUCUCUCCCUUUCUCUCUGCACCUCAGAGGAAUUCUCUGUCUCUUUCUCCCCCUCACUCUCUCAAAAAUAAAUAAAUAAAUAAAUAAAUAAAUAAAUAAAUAAAUAAAUAAAAGAAGGUACCCUUCAGAAGGUUGAUAAAGUUCCCUUUUAUCCUAAUUUUCUGAGAGUUUUUAUCAAAAUGGGUGUUAAUUUUGUGAAAUGAUUUUCUGCAUCUAUUUAGAUGACCAUAUGGUUUUCUCUUUUAGUUUGUUAUUGUCGUUAUUGUGAUGAAUUCCAUUGACUGUCUUUUUUUUUUUAAAUUUUUUUUUUUCAACGUUUAUUUAUUUUUGGGACAGAGAGAGACAGAGCAUGAACGGGGGAGGGGCAGAGAGAGAGGGAGACACAGAAUCGGAAACAGGCUCCAGGCUCUGAGCCAUCAGCCCAGAGCCCGACGCGGGGCUCGAACUCACCGACCGCGAGAUCAUGACCUGGCUGAAGUCGGACGCUCAACCGACUGCGCCACCCAGGCGCCCCUGUCUUUUUUUUUUAAAUGUGUAAUAUUUAUUUUGAGAGAGAGAAAAGGCAUGAGUGGGGGAGGGGCAGAGAGAGAGGGAGACAGAUAAUGCCAACCAGGCUCCAAGCUCAGCACAAAGCCCCAUGCAGGGCUGGAACUCAAGAACCGGGAGAUCACGACCGAAGCCAAAAUUAAGAGCUGAUUGCUUAACCAACUGAGCCACCCAGGUGCCCCCAUUAAUUGAUUUUGAAAUGCUAAUCCAAUUCUACAUUUCUGGGAUAAACCCCACUUGGUUAUAAUGUAUUAUCAUUUUAAUGUAUUAUAGAAUUUGAUUUGCCAAAAUUUUGUUUAGAAUUUUUGCAUCUAUUUAGAAGUGUGCUAGUUUGUUUCCAGAUAUUUGGGGAUUUUCCAAGGAUCUUUCUGUUACUGGUCUCUGUCCACUGGAUCUGUUCAUUUCUGAGAGAGGGUUGUUGAAGUCUCUGGCUAUGAAAGGGGAUUCACCUGUUAUUGGUUUCUAAUCCAAUUUCAUUUUGGUCAGGGAGUAUACUUUGUACGACUUUAAUUCUUGUUUUAUGGCCCAAAAUAUGUUCUAUACAUUGGUAAUGUAAUGUACAUUUGAGAGGAAUGUGUAUUCUUCUGUUGUUGGCUGGACUAUAAAGGUAAACCAGGUCAAAUUGGUUAGUAGUGUUAUUACAAACUGAAUCAUAGUCCCUCCCAAAUCCCAUGGAGAAGCCCUAACCACCAAUGUGACUAUAUUUGCCGAUAGGGCCUUUAAAGAGGUCAUUAAGGUUCAAUGAGUCCAUAAGGGUGGGGCCGUAAUCCAAAAAGACCAAUGUCCUUGUAAGAAGAGGAAGAGAUACCACAGAAUGACCACACAAAGAAAAAAAGGCCGAGUGAGGACAUGGCGAUAAGGCAGCCAUCCACAAGCCAAGGAGAGAAGCCACAGGCGAAGUCAACUCUGCCAACACCUUGAUCUUGGACUUCCAGUCUCCAGAACUGUGAGAAAAGAAAUUUCUGUUAAGUCACCCAGUCUGUGGUAUUUUGUUUGGCAGCCUGUGCUGACCAUACAGUGUUGUUCACAUCUACUAUAUCAUUGCUGAUUUUCUGCCUAUCUGUUCUAUCAGCUUUUGAAAGCGGGGUAUUGAAAUUUCCGAUUUUCCUUGUGGUUAGACAAGUUUUGGUUUCGUGUAUUUUGAUCCACAGUUAUUAGGUGAAUGAAUGUUUAGGAGUGUUAUGUUCUCUUGAUUACUUGGCUACUUUAUCAUUAUGAAAUGACCUUUGCUGUGGUAUGUCCUUUGCUCUGGAAUCUACACUGUGAGAUUUUUAGAUAGUCACUCUAGCUUUCUUUUCACUAGUGUUAGCACAGUGUAUAUGUUUCCAUUCUUUUACUUUUAACCUGUUUCUGGUUUUAUAUUUAAAGUGUGUUUCUUGUAGGAAGCAUACAGUAGUGUCUUGUCUUUUCAUCUAAUCUGGCAAUCUGUGCCCUUUAAUUUGGGUGUUUAGGCCAUUUAUAUUCAGUGUGAUUAUUGCCCUGGUCCGGUUCAAAUCUAUCAUCUUGCUAUUUAUUUUCUGUUUGUUCUAUCUGUUCUUUGUGCCCUUUUUUCUCUUUUUUCCUGCCAUCUUUUGGAUUGAGUAUUGUUAUGAUUAUUCUAUGUUAUCUCUUUUGUGGACCUCUGAGCUGUAACUCUGUUAUUUUAGUGAUUGCUUUAGGCUCUAUAAUAAACCUUUAACUUAUCAUAAUCUACCUCUGAGUGACAAUAUACCACUUCAUAUAUAGUACAAGAACCUCACACAGUAUACCUCUCUUUCUCCCCUCUUGAGAUUUAUGCUCUUGUCAUGCAUUAUAUUUUUACCUAUGUUAUAAACCCCAGAACAUGUUAUCAUGAUUAUUUUUAAACAGGCAAUUAUCUUGUAAAGAGAUUAAAGGAGGGGCACCUGGGUUGCUCAGUAGGUUAAACAUCUGACUUCAGCUUAGGUCAUGAUCUCACGGUUUGUGGGUUUGAGCCCCGUGUCGGACUCUGUGCUGACAGCUCAGAGCCUGAAGCCUGCUUUGGAUUCUGUGUCUCCCUCUCUCUCUGCCCCUCCCCCACUUGCACUCUGUCUCUCUGUCUCUCGAAAGUAAAUAAAUGCUAAAAAAAAUUUAAAAAGCUUAAAGGAACAUUUUAAAGAGAUUUACCUAUGCAAAAUCUUGUUUAUUUACCUAUAUAGUUAUCACUUCCAGUGCUCUUCAUUCCUUUGUGUGGGUCCUGAUUUCUAUCUGGUAUCAUUUGCCUUCUGUCUGAAGGACAUCCAUCCUUUAACAUUUCUUGUACUGAAGGUCUGUUGGUGAUGAAUUCUUCCAGCUUUUGUAUAUCUGAAAGCAACUUUUUAAUGCUUUCAGAUCCUAUUUUUUUUAAUGUUUAUUUGAGAGAGAAAGAGAGAGAGAGUACAAGUUUGGGAACGGCAGAAAGAGAGAGGGAGACAGAGAAUUGCAAGCCGACUCCACACUAUCAGUGCAGAGCCCAACGCAGGGCUCGAACCCACGAACUGUGAGAUUAUGAUCUGAGCUGGUAGCAAGAGUCAGACGCUUAACCAACUGAGCCACCCAGGUGCCCCUAUUUCUCCUACUUUUAAAGUUAAGUUUUUUUUUUAAGCUUUUCAUUUUGAGAUAAUGGUAGAUUCAAAUGCAAUUGUAAGAAAUAAUACAGAGAGAUCCGUGUUCUCUUUUAAAAAUUUCCCCCAAUGGAAACAUCUUGCAAAAUUAUAGUAUACUGUCACAACCAGGAGAUCCCUCAACUCAAGGAGCCCACUGGUCUCUAUCUCAUUCCCUAGCCUUUUACUGGGUCUGGAAACUCUUAAGACAGUAAGCCAGGGGCAAUCACAGGGCUGUCCUUGUUUAUUUCCUGUUUCUCAGGGAUUACUGUCCUUCAUUGCGUGAUGUCCAGUAUCUUAAAAACCAUUGUUUUAUUUAUAUUGUCUGGGAUUUUUUGGUUCUUUCAGAUGGGAGGUUAUAUUUAUUCCCUGUUACUUCAUCUUGGUUGGAAAUAGAAGUGUCUGCUCGUUUUCUUAAUGACUCCACACAAUCCCCCAAACCAAGGACUUGGGUGAUUUUCCCAAAACAAUGAUAUAACUCUGGCCAGAGCCUCUGUAAAAGCUGCUGUUUCCCUGAAACUGUGUCCCCCCCCCCCCACACACACACACUGGCAAUAGUUUCUGUACAGAGAACAUCCUUCCUCUUGAGAAGACCUGUCUGUCAUCCCUGGAUUUAAUUCUGAGUGCACAGCUAAGGGCUUGACAUAGAAACAGCCUAGGGGCGUCUGGCUGUCUCAGUCAGUAGAGUGCGUGACUUUUGAUCUCGGGGUUGUGAGUUCAAGCCAGACGUUAGAUACAGAGAUUACUUAAAAAUAAAAUCUUUCUGCCUGUCAGCUAUUCUAUAGGAAAUCGAAAUCUUUAGGUGUAGAAUGAAUAUUCUGUGAACCUUCUGAAACCUUUUUCCCAUAUUGUGGAGUAUUCCAUCAUUGGCUUUAAUAUUUAAAGAGAUUUACCAAUAUAUUUAUAGGGAACAAAAACAUCUAGGGGCACCUGGGUGGCUCAGUUGGUUAAGCAUCUGACGUUGGCUCAGGUCAUGAUGUCACAGUUCCUUGUGGGUUCGAGGCCCACAUCGGGCUCUGGGCUGGCAGUUCGGAGUCUGCUUCAGAUUCUGUGUCUCCUUCUCUCUGUGCCCCUCCCCUGCUCACACUCUGUCUCUCUCAAAAAUAAAUAAAUAAACAUUUAAAAAGAGAGAGAGAGAACAAGCACCUCUAUUACAUUCAACUUAUUUACAGAAGAGAAUGAAGGCAUCUUCUCUGUAUGUUAUGGACUGAAUGUUGUGUCCCCUCAAAAUUUAUGUGUUGAAACUGUAACCCCCAGUGUGGCUGUAUUUAGAGAUGGGGUCUCUAACAGACUAAUUAAGGUUAAAUUAGGUCAUAAGAGUUGGGUCCUGACCUGAUGGAUUAGUGUUCUGAUAGGAAGAAACACCAGAAAGUACUCAUGCGCUCAUCCUCUCUCUCUCUCUCUCUCUCUCUCUCCCUCCCUCUCCCCACCACCCCACUCUUCUCCCUCUCCCUCCCUCCUUUCCAGCUUCCUUCUCUCCUCCUUCACAAAGAAGAGGUCAUGUGAGCCCACAAUGAGAUGGCUGCCACCUACAAGCCAAGAGAAGAGAUCUCAGAAUGAAACCUACCUUGAUAGCACCUUGAUCUUGGACUUCCAGCCUCCAUAACUGUGAGAG